GGACUACUGGGGUUUCUAAUCCGGUUUGCUCCCCCAGCUUUCAUCCCUCACCGUCGAACGUGUUCUGGUAGACCGCCUUCGCCACAGGUGGUCAUCAAUAGAUCAAAGGAUUUUACCCCUUCCUACCGAGUACCGUCUACCUCUCCCACUUCCUAGUUAUGCAGUAUUCCCGGCAGCCCAUACGUUAAGCGUAUGGAUUUAACCGAAAACUUACAAAACGAGCUACGGAUGCUUUAGGCCCAAUAAUCAUCCUGACCACUUGAGGUGCUGGUUUUACCGCGGCGGCUGGCAC
Molecule: unclassified non-coding RNA, 292 nt
Filed under: uncultured fungus
Lineage: Eukaryota; Fungi
Description: sequence contains ITS1
Source: RNAcentral